Long non-coding RNA from Amblyraja radiata (thorny skate), 313 nucleotides. RefSeq lists it as uncharacterized. NCBI's taxonomy places the organism in Eukaryota, Metazoa, Chordata, Chondrichthyes, Rajiformes, Rajidae. The transcript is spliced from 3 exons. The record is from RefSeq and is a predicted model, not a curated record.
GAACUCCUGUGUGCUUUCUUUUACAGGGAUAUGGCUCACCCUUGCCUCUCCUGACUGUGCCGUUCAACUUGAGGACUUCUAGCUACACCAGAUGACUGCACGGCAUCCUCAGGCAAGAGCUCUACACCCAUUACAUUAGCAGCCAAGGCAACAGAAGAAACUCUUACAUGCGAGUUAAAUGUAAUUGCCGUAGGGCAAAAUGCAGUCCUUUGAACUAUGCUGUGAUGUUCCUUUACAGGUCCUUAAGGGGAUGGCCCACUUGGGCAUCCUAAUCCGCGAGUUCAGAAGAGUGUCUUCGACCUUCAAGCUCGAG